UUCGAAAGAGGGGUGAGAAUCCCCUCCACCGAAUGCCUAAGGUUUCCUGAGGAAGGCUCGUCCGCUCAGGGUUAGUCGGGACCUAAGCCGAGGCCGAAAGGCGUAGGCGAUGGACAACAGGUUGAUAUUCCUGUACCACCUCCUCACCAUUUGAGCAAUGGGGGGACGCAGGAGGAUAGGGUAAGCGCGGUAUUGGAUAUCCGCGUCCAAGCAGUUAGGCUGGGAAAUAGGCAAAUCCGUUUCCCAUAAGGCUGAGCUGUGAUGGCGAGCGAAAUAUAGUAGCGAAGUUCCUGAUUCCACACUGCCAAGAAAAGCCUCUAGCGAGGUGAGAGGUGCCCGUACCGCAAACCGACACAGGUAGGCGAGGAGAGAAUCCUAAGGUGAUCGAGAGAACUCUCGUUAAGGAACUCGGCAAAAUGACCCCGUAACUUCGGGAGAAGGGGUGCUCUGUUAGGGUGCAAGCCCGAGAGAGCCGCAGUGAAUAGGCCCAGGCGACUGUUUAGCAAAAACACAGGUCUCUGCGAAGCCGUAAGGCGAAGUAUAGGGGCUGACGCCUGCCCGGUGCUGGAAGGUUAAGAGGAGCGCUUAGCGUAAGCGAAGGUGCGAAUUGAAGCCCCAGUAAACGGCGGCCGUAACAAUAACGGUCCUAAGGUAGCGAAAUUCCUUGUCGGGUAAGUUCCGACCCGCACGAAAGGCGCAACGAUCUGGGCACUGUCUCAACGAGAGACUCGGUGAAAUUAUAGUACCUGUGAAGAUGCAGGUUACCCGCGACAGGACGGAAAGACCCCGUGGAGCUUUACUGCAGCCUGAUAUUGAAUGUUGGUACAGCUUGUACAGGAUAGGUAGGAGCCUUGAAAACCGGAGCGCCAGCUCUGGUGGAGGCAUCGGUGGGAUACUACCCUGGCUGUAUUGACCUUCUAACCCGCCGCCCUUAUCGGGCGGGGAGACAGUGUCAGGUGGGCAGUUUGACUGGGGCGGUCGCCUCCUAAAAGGUAACGGAGGCGCCCAAAGGUUCCCUCAGAAUGGUUGGAAAUCAUUCGCAGAGUGUAAAGGCACAAGGGAGCUUGACUGCGAGACCUACAAGUCGAGCAGGGACGAAAGUCGGGCUUAGUGAUCCGGUGGUUCCGCAUGGAAGGGCCAUCGCCCAACGGAUAAAAGCUACCCCGGGGAUAACAGGCUUAUCUCCCCCAAGAGUCCACAUCGACGGGGAGGUUUGGCACCUCGAUGUCGGCUCAUCGCAUCCUGGGGCUGUAGUCGGUCCCAAGGGUUGGGCUGUUCGCCCAUUAAAGCGGUACGCGAGCUGGGUUCAGAACGUCGUGAGACAGUUCGGUCCCUAUCCGUCGCGGGCGCAGGAAAUUUGAGAGGAGCUGUCCUUAGUACGAGAGGACCGGGAUGGACGCACCGCUGGUGUACCAGUUGUUCUGCCAAGGGCAUCGCUGGGUAGCUAUGUGCGGACGGGAUAAGUGCUGAAAGCAUCUAAGCAUGAAGCCCCCCUCAAGAUGAGAUUUCCCAUUCCGCAAGGAAGUAAGAUCCCUGAAAGAUGAUCAGGUUGAUAGGUCUGAGGUGGAAGUGUGGCGACACAUGGAGCUGACAGAUACUAAUCGAUCGAGGACUUAACC
Molecule: ribosomal RNA, 1619 nt
Filed under: metagenome
Description: bacterial LSU rRNA
Rfam family: Bacterial large subunit ribosomal RNA
Source: RNAcentral